Molecule: long non-coding RNA, 4765 nt
Organism: Orcinus orca (killer whale)
Lineage: Eukaryota; Metazoa; Chordata; Mammalia; Artiodactyla; Delphinidae
Exons: 3
Source: RefSeq, a predicted model, not a curated record
UGCUGAUGCUACUUUGAUGGCUUUGAAGAAAGAAGAAGAGGCCAUGAAGCAGGGAAUGUAGAAGAUUUCUAGAAGCUGGAAAAGGCAAGGAAACAGAUUCUCCCCUAAAUCCUCCAGAAGGAACCCUGCUGAGUUGAUACCUUGAUUUUAGCCUGAUGAAACCCCAUUUUUAGACUUCCAAUGUCCUGAACUGUAAAAUCAUAAGUGUGUGUUGUUUUAAGCCACGAAGUUUGUGAUAAUUUGUUAUAGCAGCAAUAGGAGACUAAUACACACCGUCCCCACUUUGCUGGCAUGGUAACUAAAUUCUGGAAAGGGGUGGCAAUAGUGAUACCGAGAGGUGAUAUAGAGCACAGGGACUCAGAGUAGAAACUGCCUGGAUUCAAAACUCGGCUCAGUCACCUGUUGGCUUUGUAACCUUAGUGAAUUUAUGGAACCUCUCCACAAAUGGCUACUUCCUCAUCUGUAAAUUAAUGUUCUCAUCUGUAAAUUGGGAAUAAGAUCAGUACCUACUUCUCUGGGUUAUUGUGAAGAAUAAAUAUGUUCAUUUAAGUAAAGGGCUUAGAACAGGGCCUGGCAUGCAGUAAACACGAUAUAACUAUUAGUUAUUAUUGUGGUUACUCUUAUUAUUAUCAUCUAGUCUUAGGCCUUGAUUAGUCCAUGUUGGUUCCUGCCAAGUGAGCCCUCAACCCUAGACCCAGGUCUGUCUGUAUUUCAGUUAAUUCUGCUCCAGAAUGCUCCCACCAUUCUGGAAGCAAGAUGCUGAUUCCCAUACCAAUUUGAAACAGAUAUCAGACCCUCACCCAGAUCCCUUGGAAUCCCUUUUACCUGCUGGUUGAUGUGCUUGUCCCCCUAGCUUCUGCUGUGGCUUUGGCUAAAGGCUUACCCCUACAACCUUGUCCAGAGGAUUGCCCUUGGGCAAUGGAAGCCACCUUGCCCAAAGUUAAGAUACCCUCAUCCAAGGUCAGGAACCCAAGGGAAGGGUAUAAACGUCUUGCUCUCUUGUUUCAAGGUAGGACAGACUCUACAGUACAAUUUAUGCUCCAAAGCUUGAGAGGAUCUGAUGGAAACCACAUGCUUCCCCCUCCCUGUCCUGCUGCCUUCACUACCCUACAGAUGCCUCCUGAGAGAACUCCUUCAAGUAUGCGGGCCUCUCACUGUUGUGGCCUCUCCUGUUGUGAAGCACAGGCUCUGGACGUGCAGGCUCAGUGGCAAUGGCUCACGGGCCUAACCGCUCCGCGGCAUGUGGGAUCCUCCCGGACCCGGGCAUGAACCCGUGUCCCCUGCAUCGGCAGGUGGACUCUCAACCACUGUGACACCAGGGAAGCCCUGAGAUGUUUCUUGAUUCUUGAGGAUGAAGUUUGACUUGGACCUUAGUCACAGACUUGCGACUUGAGGAAGACUCUUAGUGUAAAAUGUAUUAACUCUAACACGUUUCAAGAAAAUUCAUGUUCCUACCCCAUGGGUACCUGGCAUGUGCCAGGUGAUCCACGUAUGUUUAUCAAGUGAGUGAAUGUCAAGUUUUGCCAGUCUUUCAAGAACGAUGCCACUCUGUUAGGUAAACUGAUAAGAAUGUUUUGCCUCCUGUUUUAUUCAGGGGACAAUUUAUGUAUUAUACAAUUUUGACUUUCCUGCCUGUGCCCUGCUGCCCAAAAUGUGACAAUUUUGUUCAACAUUAGCACCGAAUCAAAUUAUAAGACUCAAAUGAGCCAACUUCCCUGGCAAAGGGUUGACAGAGGUGAAUGGAGAGAAUAGUGGAAAGACUGAGGCUAAGAAUAGAUUUUUUGGAUUGCUGGUAGAUUUUUAUCAUGGUCUCCGCUCACUUGCCAUUAUUAGCAUGGGUAAUUAAUAGCUGGCUAGCUGGAUUUCCUCUUAGUCUCAGGUUCUAUCAUAAUUCGAGUGAAUUUAAUCAGGACUGAUGCUAAUAACUGGAUUUCUAGCCUGGACCCCUGGGAACUUUCCAGGGGAUGGUGAGUGGAAGAACAACCGAGAACAACCAAGUGGCAUAUUUGUCCCUCUGCAGUUUCCUGCUGUGACAGAUCACCCUGGAACAUACACCUGCUUGUCCACAGUUAUCAUAUGAUAUCCUUAGAUACCAUAAUGAUAGAAUCCAAUGUGUCAGCUUGGGUUUAAAAAUAUGUUUCUAGUAGCUUUCGUUUUUAUUAUUUCAUGUUGUCUGGUUCUCAUUAUUUCUUAUUUUUUAUAUUUCUGCAUGUUAGUCUCUAUAUUCUGUUCAUUUGUUAUAUUUUCUUCUAAGAUUCUUGAGGAAGGGUGUUUAUUUUUUAGCAAUCAGUGACACUAUUUGGGAAGUGAUGAGUUUUGCUAUUGUAUUUGCUGUACCCCUCAAAGUACAGUCCUCAAAUGAAGGACUUGAAAACAUAUAUUAGAGAGGAGCCUCUGGCCCUAGUCACAAGCUACACUUAGUGUAUUAGAUAUAUUCCACAAAAUUCUACUGAAUUUUAGUCCUCAUCAGGUUAAAAAUAUUCCAGUUAGCAAAACACACAAAUAGGUGACUAUAGACUGAAUGUCUGUGUCCCCCACAAAGUACAUAUGUUGAAACCCUAAUCUCCAAGGUGAUAGUACUUGGUGGUGGGGCCUUUUGGGAGGUGUUUAGGUCAUGAGAGCAUAGCCCUCAUGGAUAGGACUUGCAUCCUUACAAGAGGCUCCAGAGAACUCUCUCACCUCUUUUACCACAUGAGGACACAAUGAAAAGACAGCUGUCUAUGGUGAACCAAGAAGCCUGCUCUCACCAGACACUGAAUCUGCCAGUGCCUUGGUCUUGGACUCCUCAGCCUCCAGAACUAUGAGAAAUACAUUUUUGUUGUUUAUAAGCCACCCAGUCUCUGAUAUUUUUCUUAUAGCAGCCCAAACAGACUAAGACACAGGCCUUUAUCAAUUCCAAGUUUAGACGUGCUUCUAACACCGGGGGACAAGGCCCACCCCCACUCAGCAUGGGUAACUUUUUUGUAGCCAGCUCUUGUGUAAGUGCUUUCACUGUUCGUGAUUUUUACACAGUCAGAUUAUCCUUUGACCACAACUGUUCAUGCAUUUGAGCACAAGAACUUGAAUAUUUACUUGUUAUCAUAUAUCUGAUAUUCUGUGACUGUCAAAAUAGUACCAUCGCCUUAUUACAUAAACUCUCAAUGCUACAUGACCAUUGAUUAAAAACUACCCAGUCACUGAGAGUCUCAUAAACACCAAGAGCCCUGGGGUAUGUCUUCAGGUGCGCAGCUACAUUCCUUCAACAGAUGCAUCUGCUAAUUCAUUUUUAUCACUGCCUGCCCAAGCUGAAUCAGCCACCAUGUUUCUUGUUAGGUGGAUGCCCCAAUAAACAGCAAUAGCUGUGAAAGCCAGUGGAGAAGUGCAUUUUCCCCUUUCACUGGAAUUCUGAUUUAUUUGAUGGGUUCUGAACUGCUGGGGAGAAAAGGGGUAUGACCUUGCCCAAAGCCUGGAGAGCGGACUAGAUCUCUUUUGGGAGUAGAGGUGACAUUUUAUGGCUUUGUGCAUUUCUCUCACAUUGUUCAUUGUCCUUUGGAAAACUCCUUUCAGAAGUCUCCCCUUCUCAAGAAAUUCUUCAACCCACAAAUAAAUUCUACCGAACCCACAGGAUCCGAAACCCAUAGACCCGGGUUCAGUUUCCCUCCUUAGAAGCUGCUGACUUAGCGUGUGUAGCUGGACCCUUUUCUGCAGCAGGGGCGAAUAUUACUUUCAUCCAAAUUACAGGAUGACAGUGACCCCUAGUUUGGCAGCCCUGCAGAAGUAGGAACGGCCAUGUUCAGCCGUGUUCAACCCACAAAGAAUCCAUCUUAAAAAUAUAGUCGUAGCUCAUUCUUCCAGAAACCAAGCCAGACCCACAUUGACCCACCCAGGUGCCAGCUCAGUUUCUGUGGAAUCAGAAACAUCCUGAUGUUACAACGCCCAGUCUCCUGAUCUUUUUCUUUUCUUUCUUUUUUGCCUACUCUUCCAUUUUUCCAAAUUACCUCUUGGCUGCCAAUGACUUAGAUUUGCUUGUUGGGAGCCUGGUAGUUGGGACUUAAAACCAAAGAGGCAGACGUCUCAGAGGUUGUGUUCUCUAAAAUUCUCUCCAGUUCUCUAAAUUUCAAAACUUAUAUUUUGAAAUAUAAGUUCAAAAAAUCUCAAGGUCUAGUAUCUAUAUAUCUACAUCUAUGUUUCUUUAAGACUCACAACUCUUAUGCAGUAUAGAUUGAGUUUUAGAUGAAAGUUUAUCCAAGAAAUAUUUAUUGUGUACCUUUAUGCAGUCAGAAUGAGAAUACAGUGGUGAACAAGACAGAAAGAUCCCUGGUUUCCUAGAGUGGGCAUUCUAGGAGCAGAAUGGCUCCAUAGAAUUAUCUACUUCAGAAGUCAGAGAGAAAAAUCGUGCUAGAAACUGGAAGGGAGUAUGCAUUGGCCAUGUUCUGUAGUGUACUAUAGACACAGAAUUGAAAAAAAAGAUUUCACAGGAAAAUAUUUCAGGUAGAUUACUUCCAUUCAGGAAAUACAUGCUCAUUAUUUUCUUCAAACUUGAAAUUACUUUUUCCUUUGAAGUUCUCUUAAAUCUGUUAUUAUUCAGGAUCUCUAGCCAAUUUCUCAUCAAAUUGCCCUAUUUGUAGCUUCCAAACGUUAACACCUCUAUGCUGAAAUGGAGCCUAUAAAAUGCGUUAGGGGCUUAAACUGGGUGUGAGGCAAAAAUGGUAUUUAAGCCCUUAAUGAAAUUCUGAGCUUUGGAAAGUGUCGCAUUUUGGGUUUAUGGGAGUCUUCUUUCACUUCC